Molecule: ribosomal RNA, 301 nt
Filed under: uncultured bacterium
Lineage: Bacteria
Description: partial 16S ribosomal RNA
Rfam family: Bacterial small subunit ribosomal RNA
Source: RNAcentral
CAGUCGCCGCGGUAAUACGUAGGGUGCGAGCGUUAAUCGGAUUUACUGGGCGUAAAGCGUGCGCAGGCGGUUCGUUAAGACAGAUGUGAAAUCCCCGGGCUUAACCUGGGAACUGCAUUUGUGACUGGCGAGCUAGAGUAUGGCAGAGGGGGGUAGAAUUCCACGUGUAGCAGUGAAAUGCGUAGAGAUGUGGAGGAAUACCGAUGGCGAAGGCAGCCCCCUGGGCCAAUACUGACGCUCAUGCACGAAAGCGUGGGGAGCAAACAGGAUUAGAUACCCGAGUAGUCCCUGUCUCUUAUAC